RNAcentral lists this ribosomal RNA (487 nucleotides) under uncultured bacterium. RNAcentral's name for it is "bacterial SSU rRNA". It matches the Rfam family "Bacterial small subunit ribosomal RNA", at positions 38 to 507 of the family's 1533-position model. The record is from RNAcentral.
GACGACGCUGGGCGGCGUGGAUUAGGCAUGCAAGUCGAACGGUAUCAUCCUUUCGGGGGUGAGAGAGUGGCGAACUGGUGAGUAACACGUAGGUUAUCUACCCUCAAGACGGGGACAACCCAGGGAAACUUGGGCUAAUACCGGAUGUGAGCAACUUUUAGUUGUUUGAAAGGUGGCGUAAGCUGUCGCUUGGGGAUGAGCCUGCGUCCUAUUAGUUAGUUGGUGAGGUAACGGCUCACCUAGGCAAUGAUAGGUAGGCGGCCUUAACGGGUGGUCGCCCACACUGGGAUUGAGAUACGGCCCAGACUCCUACGGGAGGCAGCAGUCGAGAAUAGUCUACAAUGGUCGGAAGACUGAUAGUGCGACGCCGCGUGAACGAUGAAUCCCUUCGGGGUGUAAAGUUCUUUUAUAUGUGAGCAGUGCUUCUUAUAUUAACAGUAUGGGGAGAGAGAUAUUAGCAUAUGAAUAAGCAACGACUAACUCCGUG